UCCUGACGAGACGCCUGUUGGUACCGGUGAGGGAGGUGGGCAGGAGAGGAAGGAGAAAGGGGGAGACAAGUCAAAGUAGAAGAGGCAGAAAAAGAGGAGGUUUCGGAGGUUUGCCUCCUUCUUCUGUUGUUUGUCUCGCCCCAAGUCCACCAAAGCUCAGGGUGAGCAGGUUGAGAAGAGUGAGGAGGACCAGGGCACUGAUGGGACCCCAUCCAGGAGCUGUACUGAUGGACGUCACCUGUUCUGUAGAGGACAAUGAUCAUCAGGAAGCUCCUUUCAGUGCUCCUGAAGUCCCCCCCACUGCUGAGGACCAGCAAAUGGAGGACGUCCUGCCUCAAGAUCAGGACAGUCCAGUCAGUCCGUCAGCAGAUGACAGUCCAUCACAUCUGCUGAGACAUCUGGACUGUGACAAGAUCACGAGGAACGAGGCCUGACCAUCCCAGUCGUUCCAGCAGAGGUGGCUUUGAAGAAGAGGCGACCUCUUUACUGAGGGGUUGGUGCACCAUUUCAUGCAACAGGACAUUAAAGCUGGUGUCGUUCGCUGUUCCGGGGGGAGUCUUCCAUCGGGACAUCAAGAUGUGCAACCUUCUGAUCAACACAUAGGCCAUGGAGGUCAAACUGAUUGAUUUCAGUGUUGGGGACCUCCUAAAAAGCUCACCCUACAUUUUCUUUAGUGCUCAUGUAGGUCAUGAGCUGGUUCAAAAGUUCCAAGAUGCCCUUCCCUGGUCCAUGAGGUCUCUUGACCUCCUCUCCAAAGAUUCCUGCCACAGGCAUCCAGGGGCCAAAGAUUCUGUCAGGGCUGCUUCAGAAAUCAAUGUGAAUGUCAUCCUAAAUGCUACUGGUCCAGGACCUGCUGAGCUCAGUGAGGUCAGAGUCACACGCACCACAGACGUCACUGCACAAGCUACCUUUUCAGAGCUCCUGUCUCCAGAUUUUCUUGUCCUGGCCUGAAGGUCAAGGCUGCUACAAUGUUUGUGGUCGUAGCCUCAGCCAGAUCUAGUGUUCAAGGCUGCUUCAGUUCCAGAGCUCCUCUCUAAACCUCCCUGGUCCCAGAGGUUCCUGUUAAAGCCGCUCUGAUCCAAGAGGAUUCUGUCAAAGCUGCAUCAGAAGAUCCUCUCACGGCGCCAGUGUUUCCAGCUACUAGUGUGAUUCAUUCAUAAAUGUUAUUUUGGUGUGUCACAUUAAACACACUUAGUAACUGUGAAAAUACACAAUUUUUUUUUGUUUUAAGAGGAAUAUGUGAUAAUCUGGAAAUAUGAGCCAUUUCUUCAGUUCUAAGCCUUUCUUUUUACCGUUUUACCAGUUCAGUCAAUGGUUAACAGACUUGGCAUUUAAAAAAAAAUACAAUCACCAAAAAAAACAUUUAAAUGUAAAAUGUUUUUAAAAAUGGAAGUUGCUA
Labeo rohita (rohu) is the source of this 1399-nucleotide long non-coding RNA. RefSeq lists it as uncharacterized. The transcript has 4 exons. The record is from RefSeq and is a predicted model, not a curated record. Lineage: Eukaryota; Metazoa; Chordata; Actinopteri; Cypriniformes; Cyprinidae.